UGGGGAAUCUUGGACAAUGGGCGCAAGCCUGAUCCAGCCAUGCCGCGUGAGUGAAGAAGGCCUUAGGGUUGUAAAACUCUUUCGCCGGAGAAGAUAAUGACGGUACCCGCAGAAUAAGCUCCGGCUAACUUCGUGCCAGCAGCCGCGGUAAUACGAAGGGAGCUAGCGUUGUUCGGAAUCACUGGGCGUAAAGCGCACGUAGGUGGGCAGUUAAGUCAGGGGUGAAAGCCCGAGGCUCAACCUCGGAAUUGCCUCUGAUACUGGCUGUCUAGAGUUCGAGAGAGGUGAGUGGAAUUCCUAGUGUAGAGGUGAAAUUCGUAGAUAUUAGGAAGAACACCGGUGGCGAAGGCGGCUCACUGGCUCGAUACUGACACUGAGGUGCGAAAGCGUGGGGAGCAAACAGGAUUAGAUACCCUCGUAGUCCCUGAGCGGGCUGGCAAGGCGCAU
This 447-nucleotide ribosomal RNA is filed under the name uncultured bacterium. RNAcentral describes it as "bacterial SSU rRNA". It matches the Rfam family "Bacterial small subunit ribosomal RNA", at positions 355 to 825 of the family's 1533-position model. The record is from RNAcentral.